CCAAGAAAAGGUGUGUGGCAUCAGGAGUGAGGACAAACUCCGAGAGUCCUCUGCAGUGCUUAUCGCAGACAGAGAGGAAACCAUCCACCCACUGGCAGUCAGGGAAGAGGAAGAGAAGAGAGGGAAGUCUCUGGAUUGCUUUUGACCAGAGAAGUGAGGUCGUAUUGAAAAGAGUUUACAAAAACAAAUUCCUUAUAAGCAUUUUCCAUUUAUGUCUCAGAAUCCACUCUUCACCAUUCUGCAUCCUGCUCUCUGCUCUGGAGACUCCCUGGGAACUGUAUCCAUGGUCUCCUGCCUUCCAGACUGGGGUUGGAUUUGUCCAUUGUGAGAUGAAAAAAGUGAACUCAGAAUGGUUGGCCGAAUGCGGUGGCUCAUGCCUGUAAUCCUAGCACUUCGGGAGGCUGAGGUGGGCAGAUUGUGUGAGGUCAGGAUUUCAAGAUCAGCUUGAUCAACAUGGCGAAACCCCGUCUCUACUAAAAAUACAAAAAUUAGCCAGAUUUGUCCAAGGUAAGGAGGUCUGGACUGUGGAGAAGAUGGAGUUUGGAAGGAUAUGCAGCUUAUAAAUGCAGUUAGACACAGAGGAUUUCCAUUGCAUCUCCAGUUUGUUGGUGGCUGGUUCCUCCUUUGCUGGUCUCUUUUAUUCCAUCUGGAAGAUUCUGUUCAUGUACACCUCUGAACUCUAAACUAGUUGUUCCUGACUUUGUCUCUGCAACAUUUUUUCAGGCCUGUUGUAUUCCUGACCUUGCUUCCUCUGUGCAAUAUAUUUACUCCAGGUCAUCUCUACCAUGCCUGUCACCAUUUUGCUUAAUGGUUGGGGUUUGAUGUUUUUGACCUUGGGUUGAACCCAGGAAUGAAUAACUUCUCUAUACUGGCUCAGUGGCUGAAUUAUCAGUGUCUUUCCCUGACAAUGUGCAUGUUUUCAAUGAUUAGAAAUGCAGCCUCCAAAUAAGGAAAAAGGAUAAUAUUUGCAUAGGCCGUGCUUAGUUGCAGGUUUUGGAGCCGGAGAUGUUCCAGCAUAGAUGCCUGUUCAUAGAAGUGCUCCAAAAUUGUAUUUAGUGUAAUGACACGUCCUCUUUAAAACCCUUUAUAACUUUCUUCUUCCCUGGCCUCGUAAGAGGAUAGAGAAAUGUUUCUCGGCCAUUACAUGCGACUCUUUACAGGUUAUCAUAUUCAUUAUGUCAUUAGAUUUACCACAACCCUGAAAACUUAAUAGAGAAAUUAUUAUCUCUAAAAGUUAUACCACUAGCAGGUGGCAGGUCUGGAACAAACAUCCAUGCCCUAUUGACUACAAUACCAGUACUCUUAGUACCAUGCUAUGCCUCUCUCUCAUAUUAUUAUAAGAAUAAUAAACCUAUAGUUGCAGAGUUGUAGAGCUGUAUGAAGCCUUAAAUAUCAUCUAACUUAGCCACAUUAUUGUUACAAAAGAGCAAAUGUGACUGAAGAAGUGGCUUACACAGAAUUAUUGGCAGAAAACAUCAUAUCUUCUGACUUCAAAUCACACACACACACACACACACACACACACAGGAGAUGACAAAAGGAAAAGAGAUUGAGUCAGAAACUAAUAAAGCUUAGGAAACACUAAUGCAGCCAGGUGCAGUGGUUCAUGCUUGUAAUCCCAGGACUUUUGGGAGGCUGAUGCAGGAGGAUUGCUCGAGGCUAGGAGUUCAAGGAAACAGAAAUGAGAAAAUUUUCAAUAUAGUCAUGGUUUCAUGGUAGAAAAGGUUAGUAAAGACUAGAUUCUGUAUAAAAAAAAACUUCAAAAUCAUUAGUUUAAUUUUUCUUAACUACAGAGACUAUGAAAAAAGGCUAAGUUUUUAAUAAUUUUUUUCAAAGCUAAUGCCUUAUUGGCUCUUUUAAAAAUUAUUUAUUGAGUAUCUUCUGAUCUAUAAGACGUAGUUGAUGAUAUAACUGUGACCAGCAUAUAGUGUCCACUCUCAAGGGAUUCUUUGUGUCAUAGAGGAUUGUGGCAGUUUUAAGCCAUGGCUACAAUUAUUUGACACUCCACCCAUCAAAAGAUGGGCUCUAUGUCCCCUCCCAUGCACCUGAGUGGGCCUACAAUUACUUUCCUUCUGAGGCUGAGUAAUAUAAGGUCAUGCACUUGGGAACUUGAGCUGGUAAGAAGCCCAACUACCAUGAUGUCACCAUCCUGGAGGGGCAAGACACAUACUCCAUAUGUAGGCAAUGGCACUCUUACUGACACUCCCACCCAUGCCCAAUAUUCCCACUAGUGCUGCCAAGGCACCGAACAUGUGAGUAAAGUUUGACUUUCCAUGUCCAUCUGCUGGGUGAAUGCCACCAAGUAACUCUGUCACUUGUCAGUGACCUGGAAUAGAAGAAUCACUCAGCAAUGUUCCGUCCAAAUUUUUGACCCACAGAAAUUACGAGACUUAAUAAGAUGGCUGUCAUUUAAGUUACUAAGUUUUGGGAUUGUAUAUUAUAUAGCAAUAAACAACCAUAACAAUGAGAUAAUAAAUAUAUUUUAAGGAAUUCAGAAAUAAUAGAAGUAAUAGAAGGCAUGAUCCCUGAUCUCUAUGAAUUUACAAUUCACUUGGGGGAAAGGGGUAAGAAUCACUAAUGAAGCAAUUAGAGAGAUCAAUAAGAGCCAGAAAAAUCAAGGAAGUAUAGGAACAAGUCAAAAUUGAAAUGGAUCUUGGAGAGGCAACUUGCCCUAGUGAUGGAGCAAUUCAGAAGAAGACAAUGAUAUUUAGUAAACUUUAAAACUGAUAUUAUUAACAGUAACAAUGAUAGCAACCACUUAUUUAGUGCUUAUUAUGAGCAAAUAACUCUCUAAAGUUCUUUAUAUAUUAUUUCAGUUGCCUUUUAAUGAACUUUCAAAAUACGAAUUGUCAUGCCUUUUAUACCUAGGAGGAAAUAGAGCAGCUUCCCAGGUAACAUAGGUAGUGUGGCAAGACCACGACUCAAACGGACUAUGUGUGACUCAUGAUUUUAACAGGGGUUCUACACUACUCCUGUGAAAUCACUUUUCACCAAAGUAAGAAAUAUAACUGUAUUAUAUCCAUAGCUUACAUAGAACUUGAUUCAUAUUAACAAAAUUCAGAAUAAAUCCUUUAAUUUUUAGAUAGUAAGUAAAUAAAAGGGCACAUAUUUUUACCUUGUC
Molecule: long non-coding RNA, 3121 nt
Filed under: Homo sapiens (human)
Lineage: Eukaryota; Metazoa; Chordata; Mammalia; Primates; Hominidae
Description: HSALNT0091494
Source: RNAcentral